This 454-nucleotide ribosomal RNA is filed under the name uncultured Sphingobacteriales bacterium. RNAcentral describes it as "bacterial SSU rRNA". It matches the Rfam family "Bacterial small subunit ribosomal RNA", at positions 927 to 1382 of the family's 1533-position model. The record is from RNAcentral. Lineage: Bacteria; Pseudomonadati; Bacteroidota; Sphingobacteriia; Sphingobacteriales.
AAGCGGAGGAGCAUGUGGUUUAAUUCGAUGAUACGCGAGGAACCUUACCUGGGCUCGAACGUAAGAUGACUGUAGGUGAAAGCUUACAUCUCUUCGGAGCAUUUUACGAGGUGCUGCAUGGUUGUCGUCAGCUCGUGCCGUGAGGUGUCGGGUUAAGUCCCAUAACGAGCGCAACCCUACCUUUAGUUGCCAUCAGGUAAUGCUGGGGACUCUAAAGGAACUGCCUACGCAAGUAGUGAGGAAGGCGGGGAUGACGUCAAAUCAGCACGGCCCUUACGUCCAGGGCUACACACGUGCUACAAUGGCCGAUACAGAGGGCAGCUACCUGGUGACAGGAUGCAAAUCUCCAAAGUCGGUCUCAGUUCGGAUCGGAGUCUGCAACCCGACUCCGUGAAGUUGGAUUCGCUAGUAAUCGCGCAUCAGCCAUGGCGCGGUGAAUACGUUCCCGGGCCUU